RNA transcript from Lagopus leucura (white-tailed ptarmigan), 2477 nucleotides. It is a transcript of the gene named histamine receptor H2, with no coding region annotated. Lineage: Eukaryota; Metazoa; Chordata; Aves; Galliformes; Phasianidae. The record is from RefSeq and is a predicted model, not a curated record. The transcript is spliced from 4 exons.
CCGCUCGCACACGAGUUGCUCCGGCGCGCGGUGAUCGGCGCUCCCACCUGCUGCAGGGCUACAGAACGCCGCUCCCAGGCUGUCCUCAGAUAAAGAAGCUCUGUCCCUGACGAGUACUGCUGGCCAUCAUCUCUGACCCAAGCACACAGAACAAGGCAGGCAUGAGACCCCGUGGGACCUGACCCCAUAGCAUCUGACCCUGCUGGGCUUUGCAGGAAAGAAGGGAACAGCUGACACCCACCAGCAGUGCCACAGGAAUCAGCUCCAGCCCCAGAUGGACUGGGUCACACAAGAAAUUUGCAGGGGCACAUCAUUUCUAGGUCACAUCACCUCAGCAGACUGAAUGCGUGAAGGGGACUCCACUGUGAUCUCCAAGACCAUUGUAGGCCCAAAUUUGGUUUGGAAGGAACUCCAGGGCUGCCUGGUAGAGGCUCACUCCAAGCAUCUAUAGAACCACUGACAGCAGAACCGUUCCACCCAUGCAACUGCACUAUGGAUCCAUGUGGCAACCUCACAAACCCUUCAAGAAACAUGGACUUCCCUCUGCAGCUGCUGGUCGGGUCCUGCCUGGCCCUGCUCAUCGUAUUCACUCUCUGUGGUAACAUCGUUGUGUGCCUGGCCGUCACUCUGGACCGCCGGCUCCGCAGCCUGACCAACUGCAUCAUCGUCUCGUUGGCCAUCACUGACCUGCUGCUGGCCCUGCUGGUGCUGCCCUUCUCCGCCUUCUAUGAGCUCACCAGCGAGUGGCCCUUUGGCAGCACGUUGUGCAACAUCUACCUCAGCCUGGAUGUCAUGCUGUGCACGGCCUCCAUCCUCAACCUCUUCAUUAUCAGCCUGGACCGCUACUUCGCCGUCACCACCCCGCUGCGCUACCAGCAGCUGGUCACCCCAUCCCGCGUGGCUGUGGCCCUGGUUGUUAUUUGGACAGUUUCACUGAUGGUCUCCUUCCUCCCCAUCCACCUGGGGUGGAAUACCAAUGGGACAACGGUUCAGAACACUACACCCAACUGCACCAGGGAGUGCAAGCUGGAGGUGAAUUCUGUGUACGGACUGGUGGAUGCCUUGCUCACCUUCUAUAUCCCUCUGGUCAUCAUGUGCGUCACCUACUACCGGAUAUUCAAGAUAGCGAGGGAGCAAGCCAAGAGGAUAAACCACACGUGGUGCUGCAGCAGCAACAGCCCCAUGCCACCCAUGGUGAAGGAGCACAAAGCCACUGUGACUCUGGCAGUGGUGAUGGGAGCCUUCAUCAUUUGCUGGUUCCCCUAUUUCACAGUGUUCACAUACAGAGGGGUGUGGGGGGACAGCAGUGUGAAAGGCACACCCAUGUCCAUCGUCCUCUGGCUGGGCUAUGCCAACUCAGCACUGAACCCCAUCCUCUACGGGACAUUCAACAGAGAUUUUCAGGUGGCAUACCAGCACUUGCUGCACUGCUGCAGGACAGGGGACCCCAAGAACUCCCUACAGAAGGGUCAGCCCUGGGGCAGGAGCUGCAGGGAGAGCCUGGAUGGACAGGAGGGGAAAUGCCUGAAGCUGGAGAUGAGGAAUGGGAAGGGCAUCUUGCUGACAGAUGGAGCCCUGCAGAGUGACGGAGCUUUCCCGUGAGCCUCAGCCACCCCAUCUCCUGGCCUCCUCUCCCAGCUGCCCUCUUCCAGCACUCUGCAAGGCUGAAAGGACACAGCCAGACUUCCCUUGGGGAGAAACCUGAGAGCAGAGGCAAGGGCUGCAGGGAUCCCUGUGCUGGCACGUGGCACUUGCUGUCUCCCCAGAUGAUGCUGGAAAAGCCUAUGCCUGCCCACGUUUCUUACCAGGAGCACAGAAGAACCUGCACCAUCAGGGCCCAUGACACCUCCAGCACUGAGCCCUACGUUAGUGGGUUGAGAGCCAGGGUGCACCCCAGCAGGUCUGGGGUUCAGGCACAGCAGGAAAAAAGAGAUGCAGCCACAGCCUCGGUGCCAGACAGCCCAACCCAGGACCGGCACUACGCCCCGCGGUGCUCCAUCAAAGGGAAACAUCCACCGCCCAGGGGGCCCGGCAGAGGGGGUGAGGUGACGGGAGAGCUAUCGACGGCCAGAUCACAACACGUGCAGCCCCGCAGCAUCCUCAUGGUCCAAAGAAGAGCCCCACCUCGGGGAUACUGGGGCGUCCCCAGCUCUUUGUGGGCUUCACACGCUCAGCCCCACGGCAAGGAGAGAGGACCCGGAGCCACGGGAGCCGCCGAGCAGUGUGGCUGCCCCCAGGCUCUUUCCCCAGCAGCAGCUCAACGCCAAGUCUGCAAAAACAGGAUGUCUGCAAGCGAGCCUGGGCAGAACUCAGCCAUACAAAAUCCCGUUUAACACAGAGGCAGAACAGCACGAUUGAUUUCUCCCAGCACACUCUACCUCGAGAAGAGCUCCCCGUAGCCCCCCAUUCCCCUGUACCUCACCCCUUCCUCUCCGCCGCGCUCACGCACAGCGCAACCGCAGGGACGCGGCUGGAGC